Molecule: long non-coding RNA, 230 nt
Filed under: Elaeis guineensis (African oil palm)
Lineage: Eukaryota; Viridiplantae; Streptophyta; Magnoliopsida; Arecales; Arecaceae
Description: long non-coding RNA (EGUI_LNC019381)
Source: RNAcentral
UGUACACCCAAUUCUCUCUCACAUGAAGUUUCCCUCCUAAAAGCUCUCUCUCUCUUGGAGACCCCCCUGAAUCCCUGAAGAGCCUGGCGACCGCUGUCUAGGAGCCUCCUGCUCCUUUCUCACAGCGCCUCACGCCUCUCUCUCCUCUCGGUUCGUACGGCGGCGAGAAAACCGAGCGCCUCAACCUCUUCUGUUCGUUCUCAGGCUUUUUAAAGCCUUACACAUAGGUU